This 253-nucleotide ribosomal RNA is filed under the name uncultured bacterium. Its description in RNAcentral is "partial 16S ribosomal RNA". It matches the Rfam family "Bacterial small subunit ribosomal RNA", at positions 524 to 776 of the family's 1533-position model. RNAcentral also lists the same sequence under 1 other name. The record is from RNAcentral.
UACAGAGGUCUCAAGCGUUGUUCGGAUUCAUUGGGCGUAAAGGGUGCGUAGGUGGCGAUGUAAGUCUGGUGUGAAAUCUCGGGGCUCAACCUCGAAAUUGCAUUGGAUACUGCGUUGCUUGAGGAUUGUAGAGGAGAGUGGAAUUCACGGUGUAGCAGUGAAAUGCGUAGAUAUCGUGAGGAAGACCAGUUGCGAAGGCGACUCUCUGGGCAAUUCCUGACACUGAGGCACGAAGGCCAGGGGAGCAAACGGG